GCGGUGACCGCCGGCUGGUGCGCUGCCCUCGCCUCCCCCAUUGUUCCUACUGUCUUUUUGCCUUUUGUUAUUUGCACUCGCAUUGUGUUGUUUGUCUCCGAAGCCGCCUCAUGACCAGCAAAGGGAUUUCACCUCGUCCUUGAGAGCGACACGGGGAGCGAGCGAGCGAGCGAGCGGGCAGGCGAGAGGGACACGCGCGCGCACACACACACACCGGCACACACGCGCACACACAGACACACACACACACACACACACACACACACAGAGUGGAAAAGGCGAGCCACCAAAACCCAUCUCCAGUCUCCUCCCGGGGGCCCCCAGCCCGCCACCGUGCCACUUUGCAUGCCACGCCGGAGGAGACGUUAACGAGACCGGCGCCUGCUCACAAGAUAUUGGUUGCUUUAAAUUUCUUGGAAGGAAGGGGAUAAAUACAUUUCAGGUAGCAUUAUUAUUACUUUUCAUUAUAGAUAAAAUUAAGAGGUAGCUGGAUUUGGAGCUAGUGUAUAGAAGUCUUAAUAAGGAUAUGGUAAUCAUGGUUGGGAAACCUAAUCACAUAAUCUUAAAUAUAGUUCAUAAGUUCAAAGGCAGAAACCUUGUUAUGUUAGAGAGUGCUGUUUUGAAAAAUAAUAAAAAUUAAGAUUCUUUUUUUUAUACAUGUACAAAUUAUUUUUCCAUUAUUGAGUAAAGAGCAUAUAUUGUCUCUCAAAAAAAUAUUAUGCCUUGAAAUCCUCAGGUAACUUCAUCCAUACUUGUUCUUAAUGUUUUUAUACAUAUUUGCAUAUUGAUCUUAAUAGUAAUUUAAUAUAUUUAAUAGUAAUUUAAAAUAAAUAAUGUUGAAUUUGACUAAUCUUGACUAUUAUUCAUUCAAAAAAGUUUAUUAAGGGUUCAUUCUUUGUCUCAUAUGAGCUGAGUAAUGGAGUUACUGUGCUGAGCAAAAGAGAUUUGGUCCCUACCCUUUUCGGAGACAAUCUAGUGAAAAAUAUGGAGGGUGUUCAGCUAACCAUGCCAACAAAAACGGAGACCAGAGAGACAUUCUAUUUCCCAGUGUCAUUUUGAUUGGUAACUGGACUGCAGAUUUUUAAAAAAAAAAUCACUAAAGCAUAGAAUCUUAAAUGCUAUCUAUAUUAAAUAUUUUGUGAUUUUUAACAUAUAUGCUUAUUAAUGUAUCGAUGUUGCACUGUUUUAUCAGUUUUUGUUAAUUUGUCAAGUAAUUGAUGUAUAGUCCUGACUUUUAAGUAUGAGUCUCUUAAGUGACAGUCCUUAUUCUCUUGGGGAAGCCACACCUAUAAUAUACAUUGGAUGGUUUUUAUUUUUGAUUUGUUAAAAAUGGCAGUAGAGCUUAAAGGCAUUUGGCGAGCAAUCUAAGUGCAGAAUUUGCUAGGAUUUUUAAAUUUUUUUUUAUUCCAAUUUUGUGAAGUUAUUCGACGUCUAACUUAGUGGUUUUUUUAAAAACAAUCUGUGUUUAUUCUUUCCAAAGCGUUCAAAUUAGGGUCACUAAAAUAUCCAUUUUUGCCUUCGUAUUUCAUUAGUUAUGUAAUAUUUAGUUAAUCUACACAGUUAUAAUAACAAAUGACAUGAACAGACUUGGGACGAAGCAGACAAUUAAAGUGGGGAGAAUGGGAAUGUGUGGGUUGCUAGAGGAACCUUUUUGCCACCAGGGUGCCACCCAGGCCAACAGUGUGUUUCACAGGGCAUGGGGACAUCAGUUUCUCUGGUGACUUAGAGAACGUAGGCUGGCUGAGAUCGUCGUACUGUAAAUACGUAUAGUGACAAGUGCUAUAGAGUGUGUUAUGGAGGAAGAGUACAGGCGAGCCGGGAGGAGGUAUAGGGUUAGCCUGAUUUACUCUGGAAGUCCCAGAAGGCUUUCACGAGGAAGACACAUUUGGGCUGUGGGAUGAAGAGAACCAAGGGCUAAGUAGUUGAAGAAGGUGCGGGUAACCUGGGCUAGAGGAAAGCAUGUUCAAGUCUUGAAAUGUUAAAGAACUAAGAGAGCAGUGUGGCAGGGGCAAUGGUAUGAAGGGUGACGUUGGAGAGGCAGGAGUCAUCUCAUGUAGGGUCUUGUAGGUCCUGCUGGGGUUUGGGUUUUUUUUUUUUUUUUAUCAUAAAAACAAUGGUGAGUAAUUAAAGGAUUCCGAUUUUCGAUUUUGGAAAAUGGGAUGGAGGGAACAUCAGAUAGGUAGUGAUUAGGGUAUUCUAUGUAAGAAAUGUUCUUAUCCUGAAAACUAUUCAUUCUAACACUUUUUGGGGGCUGCAUCCUGCUACGUGACUAAAUGGGUGUUUGGAAUACUUGAGGAAAAGCAGAACCUAAAUUUAUCAUAGUUUAAAUCUUUUAUCACCCAGAAAGACCUGGAACAGUAUUUUCUAUACUAUACUCUUUCUUACCAUUCUCUCUUUUUAUAGUUGUAUUUAUGUUCACCAUUUCAGAACAUUAUGUUCUCAAAACAAUGGGGGAAAAAAAGGAAAAGUCAUUCUUUUAAGCUUGUACCAUGCUAUUGACUUUCUUUGAAAGGACAAGUGUGUUUAUUUUAUCACAAUGAGUCUAAAAAUUAACCAUGAAGCAUCCUUCUAUACUUAUCAACUACAUGUAACAAAGAAAUGCUUUAUUGUGAUUUCAUCAAUAAUUCAAAUGCAACUUAAAGGAAAGUAGGGCAGCAAAAGGAAAAAAGCACAUUUGUUCCAUAAUUGAGUCGAUUAAAUAGUAUUGAGUCCCAUUGUCAUGGUCAUAUUGAUGAAACAACUUUUAUAACUAUGAAGAAUCUAAUAAGAAAUAAGACCUCAGAAUUAUGAGGCAGUGUCAGAGACAUUUUUUCAUUUUUUUCUAUUGUAAAAUACAAAUAGUGAAAGCAACCUUUUACGAGUGUGCAAUAAUAAAGGAACAGCUUUUGAAAGGUGCUUUCAUCGGGAUAUUACCAGUUUUUCAAGGCUGUGCAGUAAUAGCCCAGGCUAUUUUGGAACUGUGCAUACAUUAGUUUUCUCGUGCAGUGUGAUACAAUAAUGUGUGAAAAAGUGUACGAUCGCACCUUGUUUAAAUUUGCAGUUUUUGUGCAUAAUGCCACAGUGAGCUCUUGUCAGGUUUUGACGGUAUAUAGGAGAAAAAAGUUUAUAGAAGCCUACAGAUUGGGGUUGGUUGUAAAUAUCUGACUAUAAAAAUAAGGUUUUUUUUAAAAAAAAUUGCAUGUCACUUUUCUGAAAGAUCAAAAGAGUUAUGUUAAGUUUGUAUUAUAUGUAAUAUUUUGCAAAUCAACUUAUGGUUAGCUUCCACCCACUGGAAGCUUCAGAAUGCACAUAUGUAGCCAUCUAAAUGAAAACAUAUAUCUGCUCUGUUUAAUGUUUGCAGGGUGUGACUGAAGAGUACAGAGUUUGAUUUUUGAAAACAAUGAUUGCACUGUAAUUUAUGCCUUCAUAUUAAUGUUGUUUUUUUUUUUAAAUUGUCACCCAGAGAAGCAAAACUCUUAUUCCAAUGAUGCCCUUGUCCAAAACAUUUUGGAAGACUUCCUCUUUCAGAAUUGCCCUUUGAAUCAUUUGCAAGCCUGACUAACACAUCCGUCUCAUUACUUUCUAAUCACAUUUUAUACCAAGAUUCAUCAUUCUUUUUUUUUUUAAUUCACCAGAAUUGGCUAUAAAUGUCACCCUGAAAUGAUGAAAAUGGCUCAAAUUGACUUUCAAAUUAUGAAAUUUGUCACCACUGAGGAUAUUUAGAAGUGUGUGUGCAUGCAUGUGCUGUGUACAGACUCAGAAAGCAGUUUCAAAAGGGGGUAAAAAACACUGUGAGUACUGGCUGAUUUUUAAGUGAGUGGUGUUCUAAGGUGAUCACUAAGAAGAAAAAAUACAUUUGGACUUAGAUGACAGUGUAUGUUUAUUUAAAAAACAGUUACAAUAUUUUUUAAUGACACCAUCCAUUAGUUUUUGCAAGGUAUACAAAGAAAAAUGCAGCUAUGUCUUUUGGAAGGCAAGACCAAAAUACCUUUACAUAAUUAGUAGCCCAUUUUAUUAUUAAUAGUUACAUGUACUUGAAAUGUGAAAUAGUUGGAAUGAUUUCCAAAUAUUUUCUUAAUUUAAGAUAUCUGUGGCCAUUCAAUGUUUAUUUGUUGAAUGAUUUAUGAAUAAAUGAAGAUGAAGUAGGUCUAAAUUAAUGCACAUAGCCAGAAGGUCAAUAUUUCCUCCCACUUUGAACAUCUUUGUUGUGUUCUUUCUUAUAUAUGUAGGAAAUGAAAGAAGUGAUUACCAGAUAGACUCAGGUGAGUAGAUUUUAUUUUCUGAGUAUUGAAUUGGAAUUAGUGCUGUCUAAUGGAAGGAGAGGAAAACUUUAAGAUAGAAUCUUGCAGUGGUCAGUUUUUGUGACCCUGUACCAUCUAUGUAAUUUCUGACUUCUAGCCUAGGAUAUUAUAAUAUGGGUCAAAGGCCUAUAUUUUAAGAAUGUUGUUGGUAGCUUUUUCAAAAUUGAUAGAUAUAAGUGCAAACCAGUGUUUGAAUAUGAAGAUCUGGAACACACUUUUAUACCACUGGCUUUCAAUAAAGGUAACUCACCCAUCGAAGACAACAAAGACUUCUUGUUUAACAGGGUAUAUAAUUUGUAUAGACUAAUUUGUGUUAUGUUGAUUCUUUUAUCAUGGUUAACUACCUGUGUUAGCAUUUCUUUUUUUCUAGCUUCAUAAUACUACAUCGAUUUUCUUUUCCUGACUGCAUUUAUGCUUAACUUUUCUAAAAAUUUUAAAGUACAGAGUUUAUGCAGAAAUCAUUCCAAACUAAUAGACCACAGUUUAUAUUAAUGAAAUUGGGCACUAAUUUGUAUUUUUAAGUUUUUUUUCGUAAAGGGUGGGGAAGAGUUUUGGGGGACUAAAUAAAACUGAACAUAAGUAAAUUUAUUUUACUUAUUAAUUGCUGUGACUUUUUGACAACAAAUGUCAUAGUUGAAAUUCUAUAGAAGGAAAGUAUAAGAUUGUGAUCUUGUUCAUUUGUGAUGUGAUAACUGUUCAUUGACAAUUUCUAAAAUCCAUAAGAGAUUAGAAAACAAAGUCCCAGCAGGUUUUUUUCCUCAUUGAUAAAAAUAGAUUUAGAAAGAUUGUAUUUUAAAUGUGUCAUAGUACUACUGCUAACCAAAAGUUAAAGAGUUUUAGUCUUAUAAGAGUUAGGCUAGUAAGUAAUGUUUAUAUAAUCCUGAUAAACAUUUCCCUAAGACUGAAUUUUGAGUGGAAAACUUUGUUUCCUAAAAUGCUGUAAGUGAAAAAAGAAUUAGGGCCUGCCCUCUGAUUUUGUGGGGUGUGUGUGUGUAUGUGUGUGUGUGUGUGUGUGUAUAGAUCCAUCUUAAUACCCAAGUAAUGCCAACAUCUGGCAAAGAGAUGGAGAUCUGGGAAUUUGUUGCUUGAAACCCUGGGACAAAGUGUUCUGAUCUGACCAGCGAACAUAGCCGGGGACUUUAACUGGAAUCUUCAGGGGCAGAAACAUCUUAAGUGUCUGGAAAAUUGGCCUGUUGAGUCACCAUGAAGGCACUAAAACAAAACUAAUUUUAAGCAGGUCAAAGUUCAGCGAUUCCCUCUGGAAUUCAAACUUUUUUUUAAGAGUCUCAUGUUUAAGUGAAAAGGGUCAAAGUUGAUGCACUGUUACAAUGUUUUGAAUGCUUUCCCUUAAGAACAAGCCACCCAAGCUGGGAUUAGCAUGAGGAACUGCAAGGCUGGCACUUCAGUGUCUGGGUUAAAAAUAUUUUAAAGCAGUAAAUGCAGUCAGUACAGAGAGAUCCCUGGGAGCCUUUCUAUUCAAAAAUGUGUGAGCUCAGGGCCGAGACUGCAAUGUAAUUUAGGGCAGUGUAUGCUUCAUAGCUUUGGCGAAUAUUGCUUCCCGGUAAUGUUCCAUUGGAGGAUGGUAGGAUAGUAGUAAUUUUAGAAGGUGGUAUUCCUGUUUGUCUUACAUCGAGAACUUCAGAAUAAAUAAAAGGAAACAUCAAUCGAACAAGAAAUGUAACUGUGGAAAAGUACCAAUGAAUCUAAAUUUGAACUGAACAGAUACAAAACCAGCGUGAGCGUAGGAAUAUUUUUAAGGAGGAAGCUAUGGCAAAAGCAACUUCCCAGGGAGUGAACUGCACAGGCUUUCUGACCAGUCCAAGGUGCAGAGACAUACUUCAAGAGGAUCGUUAGAAGUCUUGGGCAAGCCCUUCCAAAUGUGGCAGGUGCUGUGCUGGCCAUUGGUAACCCAAAGAUGAUGGAAAAUAAGUUCCUGCCCACAAGGAGUUAGCAAUCCACUGGGCAUUCCUCUUACUGAUGACAUGAUUCCUGUUUGAAUCUGUCUGGAAGAUUCUGAAAGCUGAACAGAGAAUUUUGGCACCGCACUGGGUAGGAAAAAGGAUGUCUUCCAAGCGACCAGCCUCUCCGUAUGGGGAAGCAGAUGGAGAGGUAGCCAUGGUGACAAGCAGACAGAAAGUGGAAGAAGAGGAGAGUGACGGGCUCCCAGCCUUUCACCUUCCCUUGCAUGUGAGUUUUCCCAACAAACCUCACUCUGAGGAAUUUCAGCCAGUUUCUCUGCUGACGCAAGAGACUUGUGGCCAUAGGACUCCCACUUCUCAGCACAAUACAAUGGAAGUUGAUGGCAAUAAAAUUAUGUCUUCAUUUGCCCCACACAACUCAUCUACCUCACCUCAGAAGGCAGAAGAAGGUGGGCGGCAGAGUGGCGAGUCCUUGUCUAGUACGGCCCUGGGAACUCCUGAGCGGCGCAAAGGCAGUUUAGCUGAUGUUGUUGACACCUUGAAGCAGAGGAAAAUGGAAGAGCUCAUCAAGAAUGAGCCAGAAGGUAAAGGCUGGAAAAGAAAGCAAAAGUGUUGCUGUUUCCUAAUUGUCAUGUUUUGAAUUUAACUUCUGGUUCUUUUUCUCACCUUAUACUCUUAAAUUAGACAAAAUAGAAACCCAGAGCUGUGAGGAUGGAUUUUUUUUUUUUUUCAGAGACUCUUAAGCACGUCUAUCUCAAUUUUUUAAAUCAUUAGUUUAUGUUGUGAUGUUACUUUCACACACGAGUAAGUUGUGGUUAAGUGAAGCUGAAAGAUUGGAGAAGAGAAUGUGGCAGGAGAGCCCAGAAUAGUCACCUACCUGCCAAAUAUCUUCAGUCUAGUUUGUUAAUCUCCAUUAUUUUUCUCCUCGAGGAUCAUUUUAGAAUUUCAUUGCAUUUUGAAACCUUUAUACAUUAAUACAUUUGAUCCUACCUUGAUAGGUCUAUUUCUUAUAGUCCAAAAUUAAUAUGGUUUGCCCUAUUGUAUAUUUAAAAACUACUGAUUCUUUAACUGUUAGACAUGCUUAAGUUCCCAUUUGUUCAAAUUCCUGCGAGUCUUUCUUUUAAGAUUUCAUCUUCCAAAUCUCUUUAAUAGUUACUGAUAGUAGCCUGCAGGUGAUAAGCACAGGAACUAAUCUUAAAAUUAAAGCAAACAAACCAAUGAAACAGCUGAUACAAAUUGUACAAACUUAUAUAUGAUUGACAGUCAUCCUUUAUGCUACAAAUGAUGACUAACUCCUAUUUCAAAGUAUGUCCAUCCAUCUUGGAUACAAAAACAUGCCUCCUAUUUCAAUCAGAUGGAAAUUUAAAGCUAACAAACAAAACAAACACGACUUGCAAAGACAUACUUUACACCAAAAAUAUACUGCACAUACACCAUGUAACACUAAGUUUGACUCAUUUCUGGUCUAUUAAGACACUGGUAAAUUAUGAGUAUAUCUGACAUAAAAUGUAUUUUAACCAGUGUAUUUGGGAGUCAUGUGGUAAUUAAAUAUUUUUGGAUCCCUAUCAGAUGUAUAGCAAGGAUCUGGAUUUUGGUUAAAAUUUAUGCAAUUCUCAUGAUCUUAAAUUGGAAGUUAUUUUAGAGAUAAUAUUGUCAGCCAAAGACUUGAUAUUUUGUUAUCUUAUAUCCCCUCUCAUUCUCAUGGAGAUAAAAAUGGAAAUUUGAGGAGGACCCAGACAAUUUUAUUUUUCUAAUAUUGUGGUGUUUUUCCUGGAACUAAAAUAACACAGUCUUACAAUAAAAAUUGUUUUGAAAACAUAAAUUGUAAGAAAGGAAAUAAAAAUCACCUGCAGUUAUAGCCUUUUGGUAUGACUCUUAGCCUUAUGAUGUAUUUCUUUUUUUUACAUUUCUUUAUAUUUCUUUUACAUUUUUUUUACAUUUCUUCUUCAUUUUUAUACAUUUUAUAAUGUAUUUCAUUAUUUUUACAAAUUCCAUUUUGCAUGAUGGGCUUUGUCAAUGGUUCCGCUUAUGAUUUUUGAACUUUAUGCUGGUGUGAAAGCAAAAUGCAUUCAGUACAAAAUUAUAUUUUGAAUUUUGAUCAUUUCCCAGGCUAGCAAUAUGCAGUAGGGUACUCUCUACUGGUGCUGGGCAGAGCAGCGAGCCACAGCUCUUAGUCAGCGUAAACAACUGAUACUCCAUAGGGCACUGUGUUGCCAGGUGAUUUUGUCCAAAUGUAAGCUAACGUUAAGUGUUCUGAGCACAUUUAAGGUAGGCUAAGCUACGCUAUGAGGUUCGGUAGGUUAGGUGUAUUAAAAUUCCUUUUCUACUUGUGAUGUUUUCAGCUUGCAAGGGGUCUGUCGGGAUGUGUCCCCAUCGUAAGUAGAUGAACAUCUGUACUUUUAAAAUUAGUUUGCAUCCUCCUUGUUUCACUUACAUUAUAGUGUGAGUGUGUCUCCUGUCACUAAAUGUACUUUGAAAAAAUUGGCUGCCAAAUAUUCUAAAAUAUGGCCCUGGUUUACUAUUAUAAUUCACACAUUAUUUUUUUUUAAUUAAUAUACUUUUUUUUUUAAGUUUUAGGUUUACAGAGAA
Molecule: non-coding RNA, 8788 nt
Organism: Microcebus murinus (gray mouse lemur)
Lineage: Eukaryota; Metazoa; Chordata; Mammalia; Primates; Cheirogaleidae
Source: RefSeq, a predicted model, not a curated record